This is a non-coding RNA of Cyanistes caeruleus (blue tit), 2341 nucleotides long. The record is from RefSeq and is a predicted model, not a curated record. NCBI's taxonomy places the organism in Eukaryota, Metazoa, Chordata, Aves, Passeriformes, Paridae.
UUUAUUGUUUUUGUUUGACACACCUUGUGGUCAGUGUAUUAUUUACAUUACCAUGGCUGGGUGAUAGCUGAGGUGCAUAUUUUGUGUCUCAUUUGGAGAUUUUUCUUUGGUUUCAUUAUUCUGACCUUGAAAGUCAGUCUGUUGCUCUUUCUCUUACUCAAAGAUUGUCUUGAUUUGAAGGGCAGGUGUCUGCCAAGGAAGGCAGGAACCUCUCUUAGAAUGGUAAAUAUGACUCUCCUCCCUCCAAAUUAUUAUGACUUUGAAAUUAAGGGUGUUCUAGGCAAAGAUGGGAAAAGGAGCAGCAGUUCUUUGCUAGUAUGUACAUGUAUAACGAGGCAAACAAACAGAACAGGAACCCAGUGCCAGCCCUCUCUCGGCCGCAGGCACUUUCCCCUUGGGUGCAGUUCCGGGCACGGCCGGCAGGGGCGCUGGUGGCUCCCGGCCGGGCAGGGCGGGUGCGAUGAUUCCCCCGCGGCUGCAGGGGGCGCUGUGGCGCGAGCUCAGCCGCCUUUCUGCACGCGGUAAUGGCGGGCGGGAUGGAAAAGGCGCUGCCUUUGCAAACCCACGGGGGCAGCCGGUCCCGGUGCCCCUCUGCAUGGCGAGAUGGGCUGUAGCAGCAACCUCGGAGCCACAGCUGGAACGGCAGCGACGAGCAGACCCCGAAGCAGCAAAUGAAAUGUAUGAGAAACUCGGCAGCUGUAGCAGGAGCCGCGGGUGUCCCGGCAGGCAGGGGAUGUGGGGUUACAGCGCAGUGAAAAACCCAGAGCAGUGGCAGAGAAGCAGUGGGGCUGGGCAGCGGCAGCCAGUCUCUUGAACAUGGCCAGGAGAGGCUCCCUUGAAGGGGCUCUGGGGUUCAGGGUCCUGGGUUUUCCCCUGAGGCACUCCAGUAGAUGGUGAGGGUCCUUAUAGUGAGGUCAGGUGUUAAUAAGGUCCCAGUCCAGUGGCUGCUCCUACAAGCAAAGGCUCACCCAUGGUAAGGAAGAAGCCGUACAGGGUUGGGCUCUGGCAGUGGCAGUGAAUUCUCCCUGCUGGAAGCAACAGCUCAACCUUUCUCCUUCAACAGCAAGAGAGUGAGAGGAGCCCGGCCCAGCCCAGCCCCUCAGCCCCAGCCAAAAUUUCACAGUUACUCUGCCCUUCCCAAGAGAAAAGCCCUCAGGUAAGAGAGAACACAUCUGCAUACUUCCCCCUCCUCCUCCGGGGCCAGAUCUUUUGUUCUCUUAAGUAUCAGUAGUUACUGUUUCUUAGCAACAUAUGGGACAAAAUUUCAUGAGAGAAGGAAGCAAAAGGAAAAAUCCUAACCCCCAACAAAAGCCCUCCUCUUUGGUCUCCCAAAGAAUGAGAGUUAACAUCCAUAAAUUAUUUUUGGUAGGGGAAAAUAUUUUCCCCUACCAAAUCAAAACAUGUAUUUUGAUUGUUAUUUUGUCCAGUAAAAGUUGUGUAAUACUGUUUUGCUGACUUCUCUGCUUGUUUAUCUCUUUUAGCAAGGAGGUGCCAUUACACAUCUCCUUUAUAGAGACAACAGAAACUUUCAUGUGCUGUCAUUAGGGAAAAGAAUACCAACUUUAGCCUUGUUCCUAACAAUUACCCUACUCCAAAGAGUAACUUUCUCCUUAUCAUCAGAGAUUUUUAAACACAAAAUUUGAGGGAGUUUUUAUUUUGUAUAUUCAUGAAAUGUGCUCUGUGAUCUUUCUUAAAAACUAAACUAACUGGAUCUUUCCACUGCUCAUCUAACACCAGCUAGGAAGCGUAAGAGAUGGCUAAAGUGAUGGUGUGCUCUCACAAUUAAGAGAAGAAUAUUAUGUUUAUGUUAAGAGAAGAUAUAUUGAUAUAUUAUUGUGAUUUGUUGUGCAUGGCCUUGGUAGUCGGGACAUGUGGAGGGAGGCCAUGUACCUUUGCCCCUUGCAUGGGGCAUUUGGAAGGAAGGCAGGGUUGUUACUAGGAGGCGUGGCAUGGCAACACCUGACCUCCAAUCAAGUUGCAAGAAAGCAGUCUCCACCAAUGGACGGUGAAGAAGAGUUGAUUGGCAGACUUUGGGCGGGGCCAGGGUUGCCUGAUGCAACACCAAAGUGCCAUUGAGAAGGGACUACUAAGAGGUUCCAUUGUGUUUUGAUAAACAUCUUGUCUCAAGAACCAGCAUAACUUGAAAUUCAUGGAUACUGGGGAGUCUUAGCUGGGACCACUGAGAUGCAGCCAGACUGCAGCACAUGAAGGAAGUAUCAUUAUUUGCAUUCAGUAAAUUAGGAGAAUAGAAGUAUUUCCCAGUGAUGGGGCUUCCUCAAAGCCUUCCUGCCUCUCUGUGGCAGAUCUGUGAAAAAUGAAGAUAAAAAUCCCAUGAAUCCCA